Molecule: RNA transcript, 1490 nt
Organism: Mangifera indica (mango)
Lineage: Eukaryota; Viridiplantae; Streptophyta; Magnoliopsida; Sapindales; Anacardiaceae
Exons: 3
Source: RefSeq, a predicted model, not a curated record
UUAAAUAGAAGAGUUUCAAGAUGGUCAUCUCGUACUAACCUGAAAGGCUGAAUGAAGCCCCUUAAAACACCCUACGGAAAGUGAACCUGAUGACCAUCUUCAUCUCCAAACCUAAAACUUCACAAUGCACUUCUCACGAAUCUUGAGACACAUUUAUCAAAACCUCACCAAAUUCUAUCACAGCAACGUUCAGUCUUUGUCACGUUGCCACUUAAAAUCUCAUGGAAAGACACCGUCAAAGGCGUCUUCACCGGGAAGAAGUCAUCCUCAGAAGACCCCAAUAUCACCUCUCAGUCUUUCUCUCUCCUUCGUAAAUUCCCGUCAUUCUUUGACUUAUCUUAGAGAAAAAAAGGUGAACUUAUGAUAGUUUUGUUGUGAAAGUUUAUUGAUUUUGUUUGUUGAGUUUGCUGAUGGGUUAAAUAAUGCAAGAAAGUUGGGUACUUCUAAGAAUUACAUAUUGGGUAGAAGCAGUGAAGCCACGUUUGCUAAUGCCUUUGAGAAACAGGAAGCCAUUCUUCGGUAUCUCGGUGAUUUGAUCCCAAAGGAGAGGUUUUUUUUUUAAAUGAUUUAUUUACCGUAAAAUACAUAUUGUACUCAGUCAUUGUGUAUUUUGGAGUUAGAGUCAAUACCACUAUGUAGUCUAUUACAAAUAUGAUUAAGCAGAAAUGCAAUGGUAAUAAGAAGUUGUAAUAACUCACACCAAACUAACUUUAAUAUUGAACUGAGAAGUUGUAUUGAAUAACAACCCUGGUUGUAACAAAUUUGACACAUCAAAAUCAAUUUAGCAAUGUCUUAUGUGGCGAAAUCUGAACACAUUCCCUCCUAGUAUACCAGCUUCCAUACUGCCUCACAUACACUGCCCACAUUUUGUGCUACAGAACGUCAGAAUUCUCUUUCGAUUAUAAUUUUACCUAGCAAUUUUCGCACGUUUGGUGUUGCAUAUCAUAAGCUGUGGAUAUCCAUGUUAGAAACUUGGCAUUGUGGUAUGGAUAGUGAAUUUGAAUCCUGGUUUGUCAAUUUUCUGUGUCUUUUUCUAAAUGUGACAUGCAUAGAUACACUUAUUGCAUAUGGUUGAGUGUCCUAAUUAUGGGUUUAGGUUUCUUGGUUUGUAGAAAAUCCAAAGCAGUCAAAAGCUGUGAAGCAGUGUAAUGCACAAUAACUGAUCUGAGAAUGCCCUUGCUAAUCUUACAUGGGCUAAAGAAUGUAGAGAAUUUAAAGGCAGAAGGGAAACCAAUGCCCAAGAGCAAGGCUGAGAUUCAAAAGAUGAUGGGGUCAACUCCACUAGAUGUUGCCAGGUCCAAUUUGUCUAAGAGUGGGUGGAUCAGUAGAUAUGCGCUCUGUCCUUGUGGUUCCAAGAAGAGAUAUUAACAAUGAGAUAUUGGUGCCUGUGGCAGAUGCAAAAGACUGCAACAAGGUGUGGAACUGUAAAGGCGGCACACGUUGCUGGAAUGACUGUAAAAACCGUUACAAUGGCACGGGGCUCUGUGAUU